UGACUGAGUGGCAAACGGGUGAGUAACACGUGGGUGACCUGCCUCUGAGUGGGGGAUAACGUUUCGAAAGGAACGCUAAUACCGCAUGACAUCCUGCCUUUGGACAGGCGGAGAUCAAAGCCGGGGAUCGCAAGACCUGGCGCUUGGAGAGGGGCCCGCGUCCGAUUAGCUAGUUGGUGAGGUAACGGCUCACCAAGGCGACGAUCGGUAUCCGGCCUGAGAGGGCGGACGGACACACUGGGACUGAGACACGGCCCAGACUCCUACGGGAGGCAGCAGUGGGGAAUUGUUCGCAAUGGGCGCAAGCCUGACGACGCAACGCCGCGUGGAGGAUGAAGGUCUUCGGAUUGUAAACUCCUGUUGAUCGGGACGAACAACCAUCGGGAUAACACCCCGGAGGUCUGACGGUACCGAUUGAGGAAGCCCCGGCUAACU
This 435-nucleotide ribosomal RNA is filed under the name uncultured bacterium. RNAcentral describes it as "bacterial SSU rRNA". It matches the Rfam family "Bacterial small subunit ribosomal RNA", at positions 88 to 502 of the family's 1533-position model. The record is from RNAcentral.